This is a non-coding RNA of Triticum aestivum (bread wheat), 134 nucleotides long. Lineage: Eukaryota; Viridiplantae; Streptophyta; Magnoliopsida; Poales; Poaceae. The record is from Rfam.
ACCAAUUCCUGAGGAUGACUUGUGUUCCUCGCGGUAAUUAGUCUCGGACGCCACAUGCGAUUCUCUCAUGUGUGGUAUAUCAUGAUUGGUGGCGUUCCCUGUGCCGGGUUAUCCUGGAAACGCCACAUAUAUUC